This 484-nucleotide ribosomal RNA is filed under the name uncultured bacterium. RNAcentral's name for it is "partial 16S ribosomal RNA". It matches the Rfam family "Bacterial small subunit ribosomal RNA", at positions 28 to 507 of the family's 1533-position model. The record is from RNAcentral.
GUUGAACGCUGGCGGCAGGCCUAACACAUGCAAGUCGAGCGGAUGAAGGGAGCUUGCUCCUGGAUUCAGCGGCGGACGGGUGAGUAAUGCCUAGGAAUCUGCCUGGUAGUGGGGGAUAACGUCCGGAAACGGGCGCUAAUACCGCAUACGUCCUGAGGGAGAAAGUGGGGGAUCUUCGGACCUCACGCUAUCAGAUGAGCCUAGGUCGGAUUAGCUAGUUGGUGGGGUAAAGGCCUACCAAGGCGACGAUCCGUAACUGGUCUGAGAGGAUGAUCAGUCACACUGGAACUGAGACACGGUCCAGACUCCUACGGGAGGCAGCAGUGGGGAAUAUUGGACAAUGGGCGAAAGCCUGAUCCAGCCAUGCCGCGUGUGUGAAGAAGGUCUUCGGACUGUAAAGCACUUUAAGUUGGGAGGAAGGGCAGUAAGUUAAUACCUUGCUGUUUUGACGUUACCAACAGAAUAAGCACCGGCUAACUUCGUG